AAAGGGGUUAGCAGUUUAGUUUCUUUCAGUUUAUUCAAGUAAAAGCAAUUUACGACAAUUGUCACAGCAAAGCAAUUUACAAGGUAAAAAAGUUCAGAUUCAUAUCCAGAAAUACACUCUCACCGUCCAUUUUUGCCGGUACACAUUGAGGAUUAGAAAGAGAUUUAAGUGACCUUGGCAUUGUUGUUGGCGCUAAAAGAGAAAAGUUAAAAGAGUAACAAGACAGUGAACAUAAUGGUAGUUCAAAUAACUAGUCAUUACAACCGUUUGUCCUUGAAGGCGCUGGACCAAACCAGCAGGAGACCCAACCAGGUCACGAUCCUGUCCACUGAGGCAACAUAGGCUCACCAAGUUUGGACAGUGGCGAAAACUUCCUCUUGGCCAACAAUGAGAACCAACUGGACUUGUGUAGGAAGGCGACGGCCAGAGGAACAGACCCAAGAAUAACAAGGUGUACCUCAUAAAGUGGCUGGCAAGUGCAUAAUCAGAUCAGUCCAGCGUAAUCAUACAGACAAAUUUAAAUUCAGUUCCAUACAUUUCUGACAGAUUAGAUGUGUCUGAAGGAAACCCAUUCUCCUACUGUGCAUGAGUGGACUUAGUCUUUAUAGUGGAUGAACUGGAAACCUGCUGUAAGGAACAGAAAGUUUCAGAAGGGAAUCUGGACCAGAGCUUUAGACGCCCAGAACGUCUUCAGACGGCGUCUUAUUGAGUCAGUGGCAUUAAAAAGACAGACGCUGCUGGGUUUUAUUGUAGCUUGUGAUGAAGUGUCUUUGUUCUCCAACCCUCACAGAAGCAAUACAUGUUCACCUCAGGACGAUUACAUCAUGUUUCUUUAGAGACAGUGUUCCGAUACCGCACAAGGUCUCCGAGGAGCCACGGGAACAUUAGCCUGAUGUAUUUGUUUCUCUAUUAGUAUUGAUCCGUGUUAAGUGUCAAUUCAGGCACUUGGGAGAAAUGAUCCGGCGCACGAGGAAAGCAGUCGAUCAAUGCAAUCAAGGACAUCGCAAGCAGUAAAGCCUUUGCUUUGGUAGGAAACCUAAACUGCGGUAGAAGACUGCAGCACAGAGCGUCCACAGACACAACAACUACGCUGCGAGACACGCCGAAACCUUUCCUCCACAAACACACACCUUCUCUCCUCCUACUCCUCCGCCUCAUCUCAUCCCCCCCCCCAUAGCCGAAAGCCAGAGCAGACUGAUAAGCAGGCAGCCAGAGACGAACUAAUCCUCCCACAGUGAGAGACGUUUCGGAUGGCGCGUGAUGGAAAUCAAACCGAACUGACAGACGAAGGCAGGAUGAGCCAGGAGCAGAGGGUAGAAGUGAGGCGAGGAUACAGAUUAGCAAAAAAAAAAAAAGAAAAAAAAAGGUGAGGACGAAAUGCGAUCAAAUGACAAAGAGGGUCGGUUAUAAAAAAAUUUCUACUUAAUCCUCUUCCUCCUCCUCAGAUAUUGCCUUCCUUUUUUUUUUCUCGUUUCGAUAAAUGUGCAACCAAGCCUCCCAACCAGUUUGCCUGCUCAACCAUCUCCUCAUCAUUCCCACCCAUCCUCUCCUGCCUCCCUCCCCACCCCACCACCUCAUCUCUCUCCUCCUUUCUCAGUCUCUCUCUCUCUCUCUCUGUCUCUCCGUCUGACUGAGGCGGAUGUAGGUCAGUGCGUCUGGAGCCUGUCUGGAGCUGCAGAGAGCAUCAGAGCCAUCUCUGCCUUCGCGCCCUCAGCUGCGGACGACUUUCUCCAGGCUACCGGAGGACAAGAACCGGCGCCGACUGACCCCGACGUGCCCUGCAGGAGGAUGCGCCAUCCACAAGGGCGAAGGGGGUGUCAGGGGAGGGUUGUAUGUUUACUUUUGAGAAGCUUAGCCAGUAUAUGUUAUUUGCAUGUGUGCUGCAGAUGCAAAUGAAUGAGAAGGAGAGGCAGAGUGACGGUACAGACGGAGCAGGUCGAGAGGAGAUCGGCAUUAAAGUCGUCGCUCCGAGAGGUUUUCUGGAGGCGAAGAAAGGACUGAGUCCUAGAAAGAGGAAGGAAAGGACUGAAGAAAGCUGAAAACUGUGUCCAAACUCUGUGGAGUGACAGAAAUGGCAAAAAUAAGGCAAAGCAAAGUUUAAAAAGUUCCUUCAACGGGAUUAAACUGAAGACAUUUGUGGAACAGUAGAUCAUA
Long non-coding RNA from Poecilia latipinna (sailfin molly), 2154 nucleotides. RefSeq lists it as uncharacterized. The record is from RefSeq and is a predicted model, not a curated record. The transcript has 2 exons. Lineage: Eukaryota; Metazoa; Chordata; Actinopteri; Cyprinodontiformes; Poeciliidae.